This 444-nucleotide unclassified non-coding RNA is filed under the name Ascomycota cf. Helotiales OTU_021. RNAcentral's name for it is "sequence contains ITS1, 5.8S rRNA gene and ITS2". The stretch from base 144 to 297 matches the Rfam family "5.8S ribosomal RNA". The record is from RNAcentral. Lineage: Eukaryota; Fungi; Ascomycota.
ACGGGUAGAUCUCCCACCCUUGAAUAAUAUACCUUCGUUGCUUUGGCAGGCCGCGCCUGCGCCAGCGGCUCCGGCUGCUGAGUGCCUGCCAGAGGACCACAACUCUUGUUUUUAGUGAUGUCUGAGUACUAUAUAAUAGUUAAAACUUUCAACAACGGAUCUCUUGGUUCUGGCAUCGAUGAAGAACGCAGCGAAAUGCGAUAAGUAAUGUGAAUUGCAGAAUUCAGUGAAUCAUCGAAUCUUUGAACGCACAUUGCGCCCUUUGGUAUUCCGAAGGGCAUGCCUGUUCGAGCGUCAUUAUAACCACUCAAGCUCACGCUUGGUAUUGGGGUUCGCGAUUAGCGGCUCCUAAAACCAGUGGCGGUGCCUGUCGGCUCUACGCGUAGUAAUUUUCUCGCUAUAGGGUCCGGCUGGUUACUUGCCAACAACCCCCAAUUUUACAGG